Sycon ciliatum is the source of this 910-nucleotide long non-coding RNA. RefSeq lists it as uncharacterized. The transcript has 2 exons. The record is from RefSeq and is a predicted model, not a curated record. NCBI's taxonomy places the organism in Eukaryota, Metazoa, Porifera, Calcarea, Leucosolenida, Sycettidae.
ACUUGUCAGCUACGAAGUCAGGCAGCUGGAGUACCUUACAAAGAAGUUAUCCUCAGCAAAGACUGUACAAGAGGCAGAUGAGCUCUGGAAGUCAUUCGCAAAGCGCAACAUCAAGGCAGAUCCAGACACAAUGGCCCACUACAAUAGUGUCCGCAACUCACUCGCCUCCAGAGAGAAGAGCCUUCGAUGAUUGCGGUGCUGUCUGCGAUUCUGGAAUUUCUUUCUGUGAUCGAAACUAGCUACGCUACCUUGAUCAUGUGCACACAGCGGUCAUGGUAAGAUUAGAAUGGCAGUCUUCUUUUCUUCUUUUUUUCGAUUCCACGUCAUUCUUGGGUUGCUGCGGAGAUGUUGACUUUGGACAUCAUGGAAAAAGUGGUAUCUGCCUAGACAUCCCGAGAAAACUAUUCCAGUAAACUACAUCAGGUAGUUCUUUACUCGCUUCUGCCACGGUGCACUCUGUGAGACAAGCAGCAAAACUGGUAGAUUGGGUUUCUGGCUCUUAAACCGCAGGCUCUGAUGUAUUCACCCAGCAGAUACCGUUUUCGUUUUCAUGCUCGCUUUCAAGGGGCUUCAAUCUCUCACGAAAGAUGCAUCUAUGGCUGCUGUGAUGACGAAUUGCAUCUGUUGUUGCAGUUUGUAAGUUAUUACGCUGCACUGUUAUCAGUUAGAGGAUUACAAAAGAGUGGCACGUCACACCUUCAUUGAAAUCCUUUUAAUGAAUCUUGAGAAGAGUAGGGCUAAUGACAACAUAUUUAUAAUCGCAUUUCUUUCGCUAGAAUAAUGCAGCUGAAGCUACUUCAUCAGUGUAUGACUUGAAGCUCACCAAUCCCUUGGUCUCAUUGUUACGUUCAGAAAAUGACGUUAUCAAUAAAAGAAUUUUGCCUGUUCAUCACGCUUUUCUGCCAACUGA